GGAACUAUCAGUAACAAUAGUUCCUGUUACUGACUUGAUAUGGUCUCUGCCAGAAUAGCUUCUCAGAUUAAUGGCCACUCUCAGGGGAAGCAUUUCUCCUUGCACUGGUUUGCUGGUAUGGAUGGCCCUUAGAUUUUGGCAUGAGUGAUUAUGCAGCAUAUUUGAAGAAAAGCUGUUUUCAGGACCUUUUUAAUUAAAUAUGGCCUGUUACAUGAGUUAAAGUGUCAUACGAUACCACUUUUUGACCACUUAGUUGAUGCCUCUGAAAGGAAGAGAGAAUCAGAUCGCUAAAAUUGGAUGUGUCGUCAGUGUGGAUCCUACUCAAUAGUGUCACGACGAGGCUGAAAAUCAUAUUAAGUGCUUUUAGGACAGAAACGUAAACUGCUCAGGUAAAAUAACCUUAUAAAGAGAAAUAAGCAUAUAUUGCAGAGGCCUUGGCUAGGUUCAUGAUGACAUAGGACCUUGUCUGAACAUAAUGAUUUCAAAAUUUGAGCUUAAAAAUGACGCUCUGAAAUCCAGUCAGUGUGCCUCACUAGGCUUUUCGAUUUCUAGAUUUUCUGCGGAAAAUGUUGUGAAAACUUUGAAUGCUUAAAAAUGGCAGGUGUAGUAUUGUACUUUGCUAGUUGCUCAGAUACCCUUUUUUAUUUGUAUAGAUAUUCUGAGUUCCUUUUUUUUCCUGCAUGUUGUAUGUUGUCGAAAGCUAAAAGGAAACUUAUCCUUGGAUCACGGAAGGCAGAGGCACUUGGUGAGAUGGAAACAAGGAUGUGUAAAAAUGAGACUACCGCCUCUCGGAUUAAAAAAAAAAGUGCCAGAGUUCUAGGGUUCUAAGUGAUGUCCAGGAAGGAGGAGGAAUAAUAUUUAUGGAGCAUAUAUUAUGGAACACACCAUUACGAAUGGUUUUUGAUUGAACUCACAAAGAGCAUGUGAUUUAGACAUUAAUGCAGCGACUACCAUGAAACAGAGUAUUGGAUUACCUAAGGAAAGAAGCAGAAGAUGGAAUUUGAGGCAAUCAGGAUGAGUGAAAAAUUUAUUUGCAGCUAACCUGCAAAUGGAAUCAUCAGGAACAUUCCUUUCUCAUGGAGUCCCUUAAUUUACAAGUUAACUGCAAACAUAGGAGAUGAUAGUUCCAAGAAGGAACAUUUUAUCGUCUUUGUUUUUAAUCUCAAGAAUGGUACCUACCAUCAGUGAAUGACCUGUUGCAGUGCUUUCAUUGAAGUGUUCUUCAUUCCCUCAGCAAUAUGAUUGUGAUGACUGAAAAAGGGAAACUCUGCCACUAUUUGUACCAUCAUCUUCACCAAAAUCUAAAAAUGCUUUUUAUGAUGUAUGGAGACAUUCUUCAUGUUUGUUUCAGUGGACACUCCUUGCAGAUGUAAAAAACUGAGAAAGCUCACUUUUGGAAAGUGACCUAAAGAGUAUCAUUGAAGUGAAUUUUAAGUAGGCACGAUGAUUGUUUUCAUGGUUGCUGUUGGAUCAUAUCUCAGGAGCUGGAAUGACAGACAUUAUUGAACAAAGAAAUCAGGAUAGUGGAACUUAAAGGGCUUCAUCUCAGUGCUUUCAUAAGUAUGAAGUGCAUAUAUUUAUAAUUUUCACUAAUCACAGGAAUAUUCCCUGUGUAUACUUGCAUUUUUUUCUAUCAAUUGACGCUUACAAUUAGUUUUGCAAGUUGGAAAAAAAUGCAGUAUUAAUUUCAUUUGCAACAAAUUUAAUAGAUUAAUUAGGAGAGAAUAGAUAUCUUUAAAAUUGAGUCUUCUAUCCAACUGCAAGUUAUAGCUGAGGUGGUACCAGUUUAAGAAGUGAGAACUUCUUCACUGACUGAAAUUUGCAUAUCAAUCCAAAUCAUUGUGCUUGUUUACUAUUUUUGUAGACGUCAUUCUUCAAAAGUGCUGCAUCUUUCGUAGUCAAGGAGGACAAAGACAUCUUUCCUGCAGGUGGUGACCAUGUGGAUAAUAGGAUUAUAGACAAAUGGUGGUUCCAUCUACAGUAUCACCAAAAUGCUGUUGUUAUUGCUUCUUUCUGGGAUCUUCUUGCAUCUUUGCUUCUCAAGGGGCACAACUUUUAUAGAAGUAUGUCCAGGAAUAGAAGUGACCUGCUUUUUCGCAAGUAAUUGCCUGGAAUGUUUUUAUGUACUUCUCUGCACUCUCAAUACAUUUCAUGCUUCCCUCUAUUUUUGUAUAUUAACUCAUUGUAUUUCUUAAAUUUAUAUUUUACUUUAUGAAUGGAAGUGAGAUUUGUGUAUGGUAAAUAUAAUUAAUUCAACCCCAUGGACACGUUAGUCACUCUCCAGAUGAUGGCAAGUCUUUCUCAGAAGCAGAGGGCCUUGGUGUGCCAGUGAUUUUUUUUCCCAUGUGUAAGACACUUUUUUUCCUCAUUUGAAUCAGGAGCCCACAGUUUUUAGACAAGUCUCAAAUGAAAUCUUAAGCAUUUGUUUUAUCUGGACUAGACUUUCUGUAGUAUCCUUUUUGUUAGACCUAAUAUAUCUCACUGCAGAUCAGGAUCUGAGAUUGACUAUAGUUCACCUCCUUCCAAGUACACAAACUUGGAUGACAUGACAACUGAGUGUGUAAGGGAGAGCGAGACCCUUGCACUGCCAUUUGAGCCAUUGUGAUCUCAUCUUGUAGAACAUGUUGUACAAUCAUUUUCUUGGUAUCAUUAGUGUUCUUUGGGGCUAGAAUAAAAAUCUCAGUGUACCAAAGAGAUUUCCCCUUUAUCCACAUUACCCUGGUUUUCCUUUGUUUUCUGUUUAACCUAAACGGGCUUAAUAUAAAAUAGUGUUUAUUUGGUGUUUUAAUUGUCUACUUCUAUAACAUAAGCUGCACUGUCCACUGGGGAACUGCUCACCAUAUUGCCCAACCUGUCUUGAUAGGUUUAUACAUGGGAGGUAUUCAGUAAUAUUACCUCUCUAGACCAGUGUUAGCAAUAACAAACACUUGCUAGAAUUUUAAGACUAUAUAAUCAAUCCCUUUGAUGUCAGUUAAUCCUACCAACACAAGAUUAAAGGUUUAAAAAUCUCAUACGUGUACAGCCAUUUGUGUCUCCUUUCAUACUAUAUUAUUUUGUUCAUUGGCAGCUAGAUUUUUAGGUAGAACUUGUGUUCCUUUUUGCGAUACUCAUUUAUUUUACCUGGACAGAAGAUGCUCUUCUGUCUCUUCUCCAAAGUUAAUUUAUCUCAUACUAUUUCUUGUGUUGAUAUUUUCCAAGUUCAGGAUGCUGUUCUGGUUAUAAGAAGAUCAGAGUCCUACUCACACACUUUUACAUUAUAUGAAACAUCAUACAGAAUUUUGUAGUCUGUAUAACAAUAUAUAGAGGUCAGCAAAAUUUGUGAAAGAGCAGACUAUAUAGUCCAUACUGUUGUUAACUACUCAACAUUGCCAUUAUAUGUGAAAUCAGCUAUAACCAAUUCAUAAACAAAUGAAUAUGGCCGUGUUCUAGUAAAACUUAUUUACGAAAACAUGUGUUAGGCCAGAUUUGGACCACAGGCUGUAGAUUUCUGACCUCUGGCUUACAGCAGAUGUUUAUUAUGAUCCUGGGAAAGGUGGAUAUACAUGGAAAGCAGAAGCGAGAGGAUGUAUUCCAUCCCAUGUCAUUUUUCUGAACCCUCAACGUAGGAAGUUAAACUAAAACAUGGUGCAGAAUCUGCUUUAAGCCUUUGAAUUCUUGGCUCUUAAAGCCAGGUUAAGGGUUGUGUGUUUUAAUUCUUUUAUAUCUCCUUUUCACUUAGGCUUGGCAACUAGUUCAUUGAAACAGAGCCAACAAGAAUGAGUGAGUCACUCAGUGAUAUGAAGCAAGCUGUGGUCAUUUAUCUACUAUCUUCCAUUCCUACUUCCUAGGUUUGAUAAGUAGUAUUUGUAGUAUAGUUGUCAGUAACUUUUCUCAGCUUACAUAAGUUUAUGUGGAAUUCAUUUACAAAUGUGUGAUUAUUACGAUAGAUGUUAUUUUAUAAAUUUCAAGGUUCUUUAAUAUAGCAUGGACAUGUUUCUAAAUCAAUAAAUAUAGCUUACCCAC
RNAcentral lists this antisense RNA (4002 nucleotides) under Pongo abelii (Sumatran orangutan). The stretch from base 442 to 516 matches the Rfam family "Small nucleolar RNA SNORD107". The record is from RNAcentral. Lineage: Eukaryota; Metazoa; Chordata; Mammalia; Primates; Hominidae.